RNAcentral lists this ribosomal RNA (313 nucleotides) under uncultured Bacteroidales bacterium. RNAcentral's name for it is "bacterial SSU rRNA". It matches the Rfam family "Bacterial small subunit ribosomal RNA", at positions 28 to 339 of the family's 1533-position model. The record is from RNAcentral. Lineage: Bacteria; Pseudomonadati; Bacteroidota; Bacteroidia; Bacteroidales.
GAUGAACGCUAGCGGCAGGCUUAACACAUGCAAGUCGAGGGGCAGCGAGGGUAGCAAUACCUGUCGGCGACCGGCGGAAGGGUGCGUAACGCGUGAGCAACUUGCCCGUAUCAGGGGGAUAAGCGUUGGAAACGACGUCUAAUACCCCAUAACAACAGACCCCGCAUGAGGUUUGUUUGAAAGCUUCGGUGGAUACGGAUAGGCUCGCGAGACAUUAGCUAGUUGGAGUGGUAACGGCACACCAAGGCUACGAUGUCUAGGGGUUCUGAGAGGAAGGUCCCCCACAUUGGAACUGAGACACGGUCCAAACUCC